Molecule: ribosomal RNA, 360 nt
Filed under: uncultured bacterium
Lineage: Bacteria
Description: bacterial SSU rRNA
Rfam family: Bacterial small subunit ribosomal RNA
Source: RNAcentral
AACGAACGCUGGCGGCAUGCCUAACACAUGCAAGUCGAACGAGACCUUCGGGUCUAGUGGCGCACGGGUGCGUAACGCGUGGGAAUAUGCCCUUAGGUACGGAAUAACACAGAGAAAUUUGUGCUAAUACCGUAUGAUGUCUUCGGACCAAAGAUUUAUCGCCUAGGGAUUAGCCCGCGUAGGAUUAGCUUGUUGGUGAGGUAAAGGCUCACCAAGGCGACGAUCCUUAGCUGGUCUGAGAGGAUGAUCAGCCACACUGGGACUGAGACACGGCCCAGACUCCUACGGGAGGCAGCAGUGGGGAAUAUUGGACAAUGGCGAAAGACCUGAUCCAGCAAUGCCGCGUGAGUGAUGAAGGCC